GAUGAACGCUGACAGAAUGCUUAACACAUGCAAGUCGAUGGGGAAGUGGUGCUUGCACCAUGGCAACCAUGGCGGACGGGUGAGUAACGCGUAAGGGACUUACCUGCAGGACUGGGAUAACAGGGGGAAACUCCUGACAAGACCGGAUAAUGUCAUGGAGCUGCAUGGCUUUAUGAUGAAAGGAGACGCCUGCGGAGAGCCUUGCGUCCUAUUAGCUAGUUGGUGAGGUAAUGGCUCACCAAGGCGAAGAUAGGUAGCCGGCCUGAGAGGGUGGACGGCCACAAGGGGACUGAGAUACGGCCCUUACUCCUACGGGAGGCAGCAGUGGGGAAUAUUGGACAAUGGGGGCAACCCUGAUCCAGCAAUUCUGUGUGCACGAAGAAGGUUUUCGGAUUGUAAAGUGCUUUCAGCAGGGAAGAAGUAAGUGACGGUACCUGCAGAAGAAGCGACGGCUAAAUACGUA
This 463-nucleotide ribosomal RNA is filed under the name uncultured bacterium. RNAcentral describes it as "partial 16S ribosomal RNA". It matches the Rfam family "Bacterial small subunit ribosomal RNA", at positions 28 to 507 of the family's 1533-position model. The record is from RNAcentral.